UUUUUCUUUUUUUUUUUUUUUUUUUUUUCCACAUUUUUUUCUGAUCUGUGUCUCCCCUUCCUCACCUCCAGGGCCACUUGCGUAGUUUCAGUCCUCAUCAUUUCUCUCCUGAAACUGUGCAAUAGUUUGACAUGAAGACUCAGUUCUGGCUGUUGUUUUUAUUAUGCUGCUGGUGUUUUCUUUCUAAAUCACAAACUGGUCAUGGCAUAGUUCUUCCUGAAAAUAUCCACUGCAGUUCAGAUGCUAUCAAAUCAGCAACAGGCUCUCUAGCCUCACAUGCAAGGCACUUCACAGCUGGACAAAAGCCACUUUGGCCAUCAACCCAGUUUAACCACUUUGGAUCAUUCAUUGUCUCUUGUUCCUUAAUAUCUUUGCUCAAAUGACCUCUCUUAGUCUGAAAGAGACCCUACCUAUUGCUUCUGUCUGCCCCUUUCCACUGGACAAAUGUAUAGCCAUGAAUUAAUACCUAAUUCAAAUGGGGACUUCUCUGAACUCCCGGGGAAAAAAUUCUUUGCUUCUUCAUUAUAUGCACAUAUAGUUCUUUACAUAUACUUUAUAAUAUGAUGCUAUAAAUGUCUUAAUUGCUGAAAUUCUCAAUAGAUACUGGCUAAAAAUUAAGUCAAGGGUUGUUGAUAUAUUUUUUUUAUUUAUGAUAGUCAGAGAGAGAGAGAGAGAGAGGCAGAGACAUAGGCAGAGGGAGAAGCAGGCUCCAUGCACCGGGAGCCCGACGUGGGAUUCAAUCCCUAGUCUCCAGGAUCGCGCCCUGGGCCAAAGGCAGGUGCUAAACCACUGCACCAUCCAGGGAUCCCUGGUUGUUGGUAUUUUUAUGAAACUUUUAUAACAUUGUACUUAAUGGAAUAUACUGAAUAUAUGCAAUAGUUUGAGAAUACCAAUAGAGAUUACUUAGGACUGCACUUGGGCUGUCACAUCAAGUAAAAAGCAUCUAAAAUUAUUAAAUUAAAUGCAAGGACUUUAAGACAAGGCAUGGGUUUAAAAUCAGGGAGAGAUACAAGAAAGUACUGGUAACUUCUUUUUUUCUUGAGAGUAUUUCAGAAAGAAAAACAACAACAACAACACUAUUUUAAAAGUGUGAUACAGAAGAACAAGCACUGGCCUAAAAGGUCACUAUUCUUAGUUCAAGUAGCUAUAAUACUGUUCACUAAUACUGAGACCCAAGACCAGUCAGGUAACUUCCUUGCCUCCAUUAGUCUCACCUUUCUUUUCAUAAAAUGGGGAUUAAAUUAUUUGCCCUAAAAAACAUCAAGCGGAUGUGGAAAGGAUCAAAGUGUAAUAAUGAUAGUAGCUUAUAUUUACUGAGUGCACAGAAGGAGCCAGAUGUAGUGCUAAGUGCAUUCCAUAAAUAAUCUCAUUUAUUAGUCACAUUGAGGAAAGUAGGCAACAGCAAGAUGGGAAUAAGGGGACAAUUAUUGACAGGAGAGAGGACAGAAAAACAAAAGCUGUUGAGAAAAGGCAGUGUAAUCUACUUCCAAAUCAAUACAGGGAGCUUCAAUCCUUUUGAGCAUCCAGUGUUUGCAAAAUGCCGUCACUGGCAUGAGUUCUGCUGCCAUAUCAUUUACUAGGCAGUCCACCACAGUGAGGAGAGAUUGUUCUGUGGAAGGCUUCAACUCAAGUUGAAAAAUACACCUGUUACAUUUUUAAAAAGUAAGUUUGCUACAUUUUAUACAAAUUUAUUUUUUCUUCUACCACUCAUUGCUUCUCUUAUUUUAAUGUCUUUAUUUUUCUAAAUACAAGCCUAAAUAUAUGUGUAUACACAUAUUAUAUAAAAUAUAUAAAUCUUUGUGUGUGUGUUUAUGUUUAAUGUGUCUGUGAGUUUGCAUUUUCAUUCUGGACAUACCAGAAUACAGCUUUCAAAAUGCUAAGCACUGAAAACAAUUUAAGACACUCUAAAAAUGGUACUAAUAACAGCCCUUUCAUUUACUGAAAUUAGCUGUCCAAGGCAGAGCUAGAGAAGAAAAAGGGCCACACAUCAGAUCUUCCUAUAUUCCUGUGUAUUCCAUAGAUGUGUCUCCUUCUUCUGUGGCAGUUUUCUUUAUUUAGGUGACUUGUAUUCACAUUGCUUUUUUGGCAGUAAAUUAGCACUCAGGAUCAUUUAAUUUCAAACACACACACACACACAGGUGUGACAAUAAUAAUAGUAACAUAGCACGCCUUGGAUGAAGAGAGUUAUUAACCACUUAUUAUAUUCAUGACUUGUAAUGGGAGUGAUCCAACAUUAAGAGUAUCCCUAGUGGCUAUGACUAUUUCCACAUCUUUAGAGCACAUUCUUGCAGGGUACAGAGGCAAAUAGCAUGUACUUCUGUUUGCUCACAAAAAGCAAAGAAAAGGUUAUAUUUUCUAAAUUUCUCAAACCCCAUAUAAUAUAUAUAUAUAGGUAAGGACAGUGUGUUAAACUCAAAGCUUUUCUAGUUCACAUAAGCACCAUAAGUGCAAACCAAGCAUCUAUCAUUAAUUGCUCAAUUCUGUUAGAGACUACACAAGAAUUAUUUUCACAUGGCAUUUUUAUGUCCAGUCAGUUUCCCCUGUCUCCGAUCCAAGCAGUGUGAAAAGAAAGAAACUAAUAGAUAAUGGAACAUAUAAAUUUGGUUUGAAUGACAAACAAUUUUACUAUCUUUUUAAAGACAACUACAAAUUUAGCUUCCAACUAUGAACAAAAGGAGUUUUUUUUCACAUUGUUUCCUGUGUUUCUAUUGUCAAUUAUAUCUAUAUGCAUAUAGCAUUUGCAUAGUCCUAUUUCCAAGAAAGCCUCUGAGUGUGCAAUCUGGAAAGUAUUUAAUUUUAAAAGAGAAUUUAGAUUCAGAUUAUGACUUGAAAUCAUGGUGAUAUUGAUUUUAUUUAAUUUUGAUUUUGAAGUCUGCUCAGAUUUUUAUCAAAAAAAAAUCUCAGGAAAAAAAAAAUCUUAGGACAUUUGGCACCUAUUACUGGAAAUCCUUGGAAAUUUAAUCACCAAUUAAGAACUUUCAAAAAUAAUGUAAAAUUUUCUAUAAUCUAGGCAUAAAGAUGCAUAUAGCUAAUGAGGAGCUUAAAUGACCCAUUGGUAGCAAACCAGAGAUUUUUUUAAACAUUAAUUUGAUAUUUGUGAAGUUAUGGAACAAGGAUAAUCGCAUAACCUUUCUUUAUUUAAUACUUAGCAUGACAUGAGAUUAAAAUUUUACUUCUAAAUUUAAUUUAAUUGAUACAAGUGAAAUCUAUAAAGUCCACAUGUGGAACAUGGAUGAUAUUAUUUAAUAUAAAUCUCUUCCUUUCCUUAAUACGGAAUACGUAAAUGAUGACAAAUGACCGGAUAGAUGCAUACAGGCAGGUCUUGAUACAAAGAUCUUUGUUGCCUUGCUGAGGCACUCAGAACUCUCAAAGUGUUCUGUGACAAGAUAGUGCUCAUUCUUAAAAAGCCAAAUGAAACUAUGUCUUUUAUUUUUGGAAGUCAUUGAAUGACCCCAUACAUGUAGAUCAGUGACUACACCCACCACUCAAACUAGAUCCACAAAGCAAAAGUUAUUGGACAGUUACUUUUGUAAAAGGCCUUAAUGUCCACAUUUGAAUCCUGUCAUUACUCAUUCAAAGGCACAAUUCAGGCAAUACUGGCAACGUUAUUGGCCCUAAAAGUGAGAAAGAAUUCUGAAAUUGUAGAGUUAGAGAGAAUUUUGAGAAUAAAGGUAUUUUGCCUAUAAACAUACUAUUAAUUCAUUCCUAAUGACUCGUUGCUCUCUCCUAUGGAAAUCCAUCCCUUUGAUGGCCUUGUCUAAUUUCUUCUGACUUACAGGCAGCUCAAUGGCUUUGCUCACUCUCACCAACAUUUAUAUACUGUUUUGCACAGGAAAUAGUAAGUUUAGAAUGCUCUUUUGGAACGCCAAUCUUGCUUCAUUUUUUCAGCCCUUUUUCAUAUAUCUAGAACUAUUUUUGUACUGAUAUUUCAGACAACUUCUAGUGUCAGUAUAACCUUCUGCCUCCUUAAGUUCUCUAGUGAUUUUAACAAGAUACAUGGCCAUUCAUUUUCUGUCCAACACUCUGGUAACUAAGACUUCUGUUGGGUCUUGGUCCUAUAAAUUGCAAAUAGGCAAAGGCUUUGGAAUUUAGCCUACAAAGUCUCAUACUUCUCAUAACCAAUCCUUCAAGAAACACUCCACUUCACGGCAACUUAUUUCCAAUGAGCCUAGUACCUUUUGGAAUAUAGGAAUCAUGAUACUUAGAAAAUAAUGCAAUGUGUCCAAGCUUUAUUCCCAUUCUUAAGUUUUAUUCAGAGAAUAUAUUCUUUUUAAAAAAAUAUCAUCAAAAGACUCUUUAUGAAUAUUUUCUAAAUUUUUCAAGGUAUAUACUCAGCAACAUAUUUUGCUUCUGAGAAUUGCUGCUUCAAACGCUUUCUAAAGAAUUGUACUAUUUUCCUGGCACAAAACAUGCUAUGGGGAUAGAUUGGUCUUCUCCAAUGACAAUGAAAUAUAAAAAGUGAAUAUCUCCCAAGGGAAAAGUUUUCAGUCUCUUUUGACUUAAUCUUUUGAAAGAGUUUAAGUAUCCCUUUUUCUGUUCUAUAUCUCAAUAUCAGAGGAAAGAAUCUAUCUCUCAACAAAGGGAUAGCAGGAAAAAAUAUAAUUUAAAACAUGAAUUUAAUAGUUCUGCCAUUUCUUAGGCUAUGAUACCCUAGACAAUACAACUAAGCCUGACUUUCUUUGUCUAAGAAGUGUAUAAUAAGUAAACAUCCUAUAAGGUAUUUAUAGAAGGCCAGGAGAAAAGAAAUAUGAAAGCACUACUGUGAAUCUGUAAAGUACCAUAGAAAUCUGUAUUAUCUUAUGAGAACCAAUUUAUAUAACCCUAAAUUUCUGUUAUUACUCAUUCUUCACAAGUUGCUGAAUUUUAAUAUUAUUUGAAGUACUCUGUGUGAAUGUUCACAAUUCUAGACAUUUGUGCUAUGUCUCAGGUUUUCCAGUGGAGAGUUGUGUGUGUGUGUGUGUGUGUGUGUGUGUGUGUGUGUGUAGGGGUGGUGUGCAUCACUAUUCAUAACUGAGUCACACCAAAAUGCUAAUUUUCGGAGGCAGAGCAAUGUAGGCAGUAGCUGUUCCGACAGUACACACUCUGAUGACAAGCAAAUGUUUUGCAGGAACAGAAUGCUUUCUGUCACCUUCCUCCAGAUGAAGGCCGAGAUACUCCAGAAAUAACAGAUGAAGAGAAGCCAGGACCUAACUGAACAUUUACCUAUUGAGACAGUAGCAAAUGCUCAAAACUUCAGUUAGGCUUCCUCUCCAAUCAGGCAGCAUGCAGAAUCCACAAUUUAUAGAAACAAAAAAAAGGCUUAUUUCGGACUUAAGUGGGGCAAUAUUUUCCAUCUAUUCCUGACAUUUCAUGUCUCCAAAUGGUUCUAUGGGGUAAAUACAGAUUAAGGAGCCCUGAUGAGAACACAUCCCUUCCAGAGCUUUCCAGCACCAGAAUUCAGAAUUCAUAUGUGGUCCUUGGACCACUCCUGUGAUUUCUGAGAGCUUUUCCACAUCUUGAUUCCUGGCAUUUCAUAACAGUAUCAGAGACCAAUCUUGGGAAGCAUGACUCUAUAGAUAUUUUAGAUAUUUUGGUUUGUGUUUUACAGUGUUCAUUUUUGCCUUUAUAUCCUUAAGAAUUCCCUUAUCCAACCAUCAUCACACUGUAUACUUUAAUAUAUGACAACUUGAUCUCUCCCUUAUACUUCAAUAAAGCUGGAAAAAGAAUCUUUUCUAAUCUUGCUAAGUGAAGCAUGGGCAGUCCCUGGGAACAUACUAUUGACUCUAAAUUCUGUAUUUAUGAAGCUCAUUUUCUCAUUUUCUCUGCUCUUACUAAAUGCUCUGCAGUGCCUCCUGUACUUUGGCCCUGCUGGGAAAGGAACAGGCCUGGACUCAGCAAUUCUAAGAACUGGGAAUGUAAUGAAUUUCCUUGUGAUUCACUCAGUCCUGUCCUCCAAAUCCUAUUAUCUCUUAAUCCAUUCAGCUUCUCCUAAUGAAUUUCCCUUUCUUUCUUGCAGAUUACCACAGGAAGCUGAGGAGUCUGGGAAAAGAGUGAAAUCUACCACUUAGUCAUUUUGAGUGGUAAUAAAGUUGGUCUUUAAAGAAGAGGAAAAAAAAAAAGGGAAACAGGAGACAUUGCAGAUUCUUUCUAAUUUAGAAGCAACAUGGUCUGUAGAAGUCACUUUAGCUAUGGGUUGACAGACCUUGAUCUAUGACCUGUCCUGUUUGGUAUAAGGUUUCUGGGAAAGUGCAACCCAUUCCAAAGAGCAUGAACUCAUGUGUCUAGGGAUUAUAGAAUAAAUUAUACUUUUAGGAAAUAUCACAGGGGCCAUUGAAAUAACCAUGGAUACCAUCCUUCAGUGAUUUUUAUAUGGGAUAUUACUAAUUCCUAAAAUUUAUACCUCUGGAAACACUGUCCAUUGGCUUGGAAACAGAGACUUUUAUCCUGCUUUGUGGCUAUAAUUCAACUCUAGACAGGAGUUGGUGAAUGUCUCCUUGGAGGAAAAGAAAGACAAAGAUAAUAAGAUACUAACUGAUAAAGAGAGUGAAGAAGGAAGAGAAGGAGGAGGAAAUGAGGAGGUGGGGUAAGGGGAGUGGUGCUGGGUAAUUAUAAAGAUGCAGGGUAGUACAGCAUAGAGGAAAUAGCUCUAUUUUUGAAUAUAAUAGAACUCUGGUUUCAUAUCAAGGUUCAGUCAACAGUGAGCAGUGUGAUCUUGGGGAAUUGACUCAACUUCUCUGAACACCUGUUUUCCUUACCCAAACAAUACCCAUCUCAGAGGAAUUAAAUAAUUUAUGUAGGGUACUCCUGUAGUCAAAGUAUCUCUACAAUCAAUGCCUAAUGUGUAUUUAGAUAGGUGCUCCUUGAAUUUAAAAACCACUUAUUUGGUUUAAUAAUUCAAAUGCAGAGUCACCAACUGUUUUCUAGAUAUUAAAAAAAAAGUUUCUUUUUUAUAGGGAGAGGGAGAGCCUGUGGAUUGUCAGAAAACCCUUCUUAAUCCUCUAUGCUAUUCCUGUAUUUCAGCAAUCCAGACAUUCACAUGAAAGUCAGCCCCAAAGUUGCCUUACGAGACUGUUUUGGCAAGCCCCUAGAGGACAGGGAUAAUACACUUUUCAUUUAUGUUGUUCCAUCUUUCUUAAUGUCUAGGACUUUAUUUUAUCUUCCAAAUCUCCCUGGAGAGAUCAAUAGGCUAUAUCUGAGUAAUUAUUAUCCUCACCGUAUAGAUGAUUGAUAGAGAUAGAUAGAUAGAUAGAUAGAUAGAUAGAUAGAUAGAUAGAUGAUAGAUAGAUAGAUAUAGAUAGAUAGAUAGAUAGAUAGAUAGAUAGAUAGAUAGAUAGACAGAUGAUAGAUACAUAGUUAAUGGAGAGAGGGGAAGAAAGAGGAAGAAAGGGAAGUCGUGGUGAUGGUAGGGGAGGCAGAGAGAGAAAGAACUAUGGGAAGGAGAGGUUUUAUGACUUUGCUGAAGUAAAAAAGUACUGAAGGCUACUGGAAAAGUCGGAUCUCUUUUUUCCAAGUUGUAUAUGUUUUCACAGGCUACAUAUACAUCACGCCACACACAAAUCAAUAAAUCUUUGGAUAACCAUGAUAAAGGGCAAAUUUGUUCUAAACUCCGUCAGUGCUGAAACAUUUUCACAAAGAUGAGUCUCAUUACAUAUCCUGUACCUCCCACAUUCCUUUCUACUUUGUCUCAAUUACUCAUACAUAUCCAGGAUGGAGUGAAAAUUAUCAGUGGUGUUUUAGCCUGAGUAGACAAAAAUAUCCUCUAGGCAUCCUGAAGAAAACAUUUUUAUAUCAGUUCUAACCAUGAUCUGUAGUGUAAUGCAGGGGUUCAAUAAGUGCUAGGGAAAUAAAUGAACUUUCAAAAUUUCUCAAAUAUGCACAAACAUGUGAUAUUGUAUUAGCAGUCAGAGAAACCAGAAUAGAGAAGAGGUCUCAAAAAGAAAGAACACAAGAUUUUGUUCUCAUUUCUGCUAAUGGUUAACUAACUUGAAGCAAGACAACAGAUUUCACUGAAACUCAGUUUAAUUAUCUCUACAAUGGAGAUAAUGAGAUUAUUCUCUUACAUCCCUCUCAAAAGGGGAAAAUGAGGGGGAAAUUGAUAAAAUGUCUAGAAUUUUUUGGAUGCAAAUA
RNAcentral lists this long non-coding RNA (8106 nucleotides) under Canis lupus familiaris (dog). Its description in RNAcentral is "lncRNA (ENSCAFG00000053114.1)". The record is from RNAcentral. Lineage: Eukaryota; Metazoa; Chordata; Mammalia; Carnivora; Canidae.